CCUACGGGUGGCAGCAGUGGGGAAUAUUGCACAAUGGGGGAAACCCUGAUGCAGCGACGCCGCGUGAGUGAAGAAGUAUUUCGGUUUGUAAAGCUCUAUUAUCAGGGAAGAUAAUGACGGUAUCUGAUUAAUAAGCCCCGGCUAACUACGUGCCAGCAGCCGCGGUAAUACGGAGGGUGCAAGCGUUAUCCGGAUUUACUGGGUGUAAAGGGAGCGUAGGCGGGAGAAUAAGUCAGGUGUGAAAUGCUGUAGCUUAACCACAGAACUGCAUUGGAAACUGUGACUCUAGAGUGCAGGAGAGGUAAGUGGAAUGCUUGGUGUAGGGGUGAAAUGCGUAGAGAUUAGGAGGAAUACCAGUUGCGAAGGCGACUUACUGGAAUGUAACUGACGUUGAGGCUCGAAAGCGUGGGGAGCAAACAGGAUUAGAUACCCGAGUAGUC
Molecule: ribosomal RNA, 440 nt
Filed under: uncultured bacterium
Lineage: Bacteria
Description: partial 16S ribosomal RNA
Rfam family: Bacterial small subunit ribosomal RNA
Source: RNAcentral